AUGAACGCUAGCGGCAGGCCUAAUACAUGCAAGUCGAGGGGUAAGAGUCAGCUUGCUGACUACACGACCGGCGCACGGGUGCGUAACGCGUAUGCAACCUACCUUUAACAGAGGAAUAGCCCCGAGAAAUCGGGAUUAAUACCACAUAACAUUAUGAUAUGGCAUCAUAUUAUAAUUAAAACUCCGGUGGUUAAAGAUGGGCAUGCGUGACAUUAGCUAGUUGGUGAGGUAACUGCUCACCAAGGCUACGAUGUCUAGGGGUUCUGAGAGGAUGAUCCCCCACACUGGUACUGAGACACGGACCAGACUCCUACGGGAGGCAGCAGUAAGGAAUAUUGCGCAAUGGAGGCAACUCUGACGCAGCCAUGCCGCGUGCAGGAUUGAAGGCCUUAUGGGUCGUAAACUGCUUUUAUUUAGGAAUAAACUUUCGUACGUGUACGAAACUGAAGGUACUAAACGAAUAAGCACCGGCUAACUCCGUGCCAGCAGCCGCGGUAAUACGGAGGGUGCAAGCGUUAUCCGGAUUUAUUGGGUUUAAAGGGUGCGCAGGCGGACCAAUUAGUCAGUGGUGAAAUCCCGAGGCUCAACCUCGGAACUGCCAUUGAUACUGUUGGUCUUGAAUACGGUUGAAGUAGGCGGAAUGUAGCAUGUAGCGGUGAAAUGCAUAGAGAUGCUACAGAACACCGAUCGCGAAAGGCAGCUUACUAAACCGAUAUUGACGCUCAGGCACGAAAGCGUGGGGAGCGAACAGGAUUAGAUACCCUGGUAGUCCACGCCGUAAACUAUGAUCACUCGUUGUUGGCAAUACACAGUCAGUGACCAAGCGAAAGCGAUAAGUGAUCCACCUGGGGAGUACGAUCGCAAGGUUGAAACUCAAAGGAAUUGACGGGGGCCCGCACAAGCGGUGGAGCAUGUGGUUUAAUUCGAUGAUACGCGAGGAACCUUACCUGGGCUCAAAUGUAAGUUGACAGUUUCUGAAAGGGAAUUUUCUUCGGACAAUUUACAAGGUGCUGCAUGGUUGUCGUCAGCUCGUGCCGUGAGGUGUCGGGUUAAGUCCCAUAACGAGCGCAACCCCUACUCUUAGUUGCCAUCAGAUAAUGCUGGGGACUCUAGGAGAACUGCCUACGCAAGUAGAGAGGAAGGUGGGGAUGACGUCAAAUCAGCACGGCCCUUACGUCCAGGGCUACACACGUGCUACAAUGGCCGGUACAGAGGGCAGCCACCUGGUGACAGGGAGCGAAUCUCUAAAGCCGGUCUCAGUUCGGAUCGAAGUCUGCAACCCGACUUCGUGAAGCUGGAAUCGCUAGUAAUCGCGCAUCAGCCAUGGCGCGGUGAAUACGUUCCCGGGCCUUGUACACACCGCCCGUCAA
This 1370-nucleotide ribosomal RNA is filed under the name uncultured Bacteroidota bacterium. RNAcentral describes it as "bacterial SSU rRNA". It matches the Rfam family "Bacterial small subunit ribosomal RNA", at positions 29 to 1400 of the family's 1533-position model. The record is from RNAcentral. Lineage: Bacteria; Pseudomonadati; Bacteroidota.